This 778-nucleotide ribosomal RNA is filed under the name Salinicola sp. 7SS1.13. RNAcentral's name for it is "bacterial SSU rRNA". It matches the Rfam family "Bacterial small subunit ribosomal RNA", at positions 671 to 1448 of the family's 1533-position model. The record is from RNAcentral. Lineage: Bacteria; Pseudomonadati; Pseudomonadota; Gammaproteobacteria; Oceanospirillales; Halomonadaceae.
CAGUGUAGCGGUGAAAUGCGUAGAGAUCGGGAGGAAUACCAGUGGCGAAGGCGGCCUUCUGGCCUGACACUGACACUGAGGUGCGAAAGCGUGGGUAGCAAACAGGAUUAGAUACCCUGGUAGUCCACGCCGUAAACGAUGUCGACUAGCUGUUGGGACCUUUAAGGACUUAGUGGCGCAGUUAACGCGAUAAGUCGACCGCCUGGGGAGUACGGCCGCAAGGUUAAAACUCAAAUGAAUUGACGGGGGCCCGCACAAGCGGUGGAGCAUGUGGUUUAAUUCGAUGCAACGCGAAGAACCUUACCUACCCUUGACAUCCUGCGAAUUUGGUAGAGAUACCUUAGUGCCUUCGGGAGCGCAGUGACAGGUGCUGCAUGGCUGUCGUCAGCUCGUGUUGUGAAAUGUUGGGUUAAGUCCCGUAACGAGCGCAACCCUUGUCCUUAUUUGCCAGCGAGUCAUGUCGGGAACUCUAAGGAGACUGCCGGUGACAAACCGGAGGAAGGUGGGGACGACGUCAAGUCAUCAUGGCCCUUACGGGUAGGGCUACACACGUGCUACAAUGGCCGGUACAAAGGGUUGCGAGACCGCGAGGUGGAGCGAAUCCCAGAAAGCCGGCCUCAGUCCGGAUCGGAGUCUGCAACUCGACUCCGUGAAGUCGGAAUCGCUAGUAAUCGUGAAUCAGAAUGUCACGGUGAAUACGUUCCCGGGCCUUGUACACACCGCCCGUCACACCAUGGGAGUGGACUGCACCAGAAGUGGUUAGCUUAACCUUCGGGAG